AUGUUGAAGUUCCUGGUCCUCAUUGUGGCGUUGGUUAUCACCACAGGAUCCCAGGCUGCUGAAGAUCCAGGUGAAGUUUCAAAAGAGGAGAAAUGGAGCUCCUAUGUGGUUCAAAUUUACUACUGGGCAAUAGACAAAGUGCUCACAUUUUCAGAAACAAAGACUGGCCGGACUUUGUUAGAGCUGUCUUAUAAUGUCAGCCAGCGCUUGGAUGACCUUCAGCAAGAGUUUCCACCAGAUAUCCAACAAACUUUGGAGCUGGUGGGUGAACUAGCAGGAGCUAUUUGGCGGAAAUCUAAUCAUGCUGCAGAGGAACUGUACCGCAGACAGGACCUUGGAUCCCAGGCUUCUGAUGAUGAAAGCCGAAUUCCAAGAGUGGAGGAACUGCUCAGAUACUGGUUUGGUUUGCCCACGGCAUCAGAUUUCAUAUGGGACAACUUUAGCGAAUCAAAGACUGGGCAGGAAUUGUCAGGCCUGUUCCAUAAUGCAAGCCAACAAUUUCAUAAAUUUGACCGAGAGAUUCCAUCGGAGCUCACAGAACCCUUACAUCUCGUGAGUGCUGUAUAUACAGGUGUUAUGCUGAAAGCUUAUAGCGCUGUAACUGAGCUGAGAGACCAGCAGAAACUUCAAGAACCACUGAUAAACCUACUGGCGUAUUAUGUGGAACCCGUCCUGGAGAGGAUGGAACCAUAUUUUGAGUCCUUCGGACCGAUGCUCAAUGACGAACUGAGAUACAUUCAUGAGAAAUUGCCGGAGUAUUUUAAACCUCUUGACGAUGGGCUCUUCUUCUACCUCAAGAAGUUGGAAGACGCUAAACCGACCCUCCAAGACGCCGCCGACCAAACGCUGACUCGUUUCAUACAAGGGCUGGAGGCUCUUCACAAGAACCUGAAUCCUUACCUGAAACCCCUUCUGGAGGAGAGCAAAAAACACGAAACAGAGUUUAGGGAUUGGGUUCACGCCUCCAUAUUUCCCUCAGACUCGUGAUUUUUUUUUUUCAUGAGUAAGGGGGAGUGAUGCAUUGUGGAUCUUUAAGAAAAUCGGUGUGGAAGGGGUCACUAAAAUGAUGUGGUGGGCAGUAAUUUGUAAACUCCCCGCCUGGUGAUAUAAUAAAGGAGACAUUUUUAAAAACGGCUAGCCA
RNAcentral lists this long non-coding RNA (1141 nucleotides) under Pogona vitticeps (central bearded dragon). RNAcentral describes it as "lncRNA (ENSPVIG00000021664.1)". The record is from RNAcentral. Lineage: Eukaryota; Metazoa; Chordata; Lepidosauria; Squamata; Agamidae.